RNAcentral lists this transfer RNA (76 nucleotides) under Paludibacteraceae bacterium. Its description in RNAcentral is "tRNA-Pro". The record is from RNAcentral. Lineage: Bacteria; Pseudomonadati; Bacteroidota; Bacteroidia; Bacteroidales; Paludibacteraceae.
CGGGAUGUAGCGCAGUUGGCAGCGCACUACGUUCGGGACGUAGGGGUCGGGCGUUCGAGUCGCCUCAUCCCGACCA